This 378-nucleotide unclassified non-coding RNA is filed under the name uncultured bacterium. RNAcentral describes it as "contains 16S-23S intergenic spacer region". The record is from RNAcentral.
UCCGGUUUGUCACCGGCAGUCUCCUUAGAGUGCCCACCAUUACGUGCUGGUAACUAAGGACAAGGGUUGCGCUCGUUGCGGGACUUAACCCAACAUCUCACGACACGAGCUGACGACAGCCAUGCAGCACCUGUGUUCGAGUUCCCGAAGGGCUGCCGUGUUUCCACGACAUUCCCGUGCAUGUCAAGCCUUGGUAAGGUUCUUCGCGUUGCGUCGAAUUAAACCACAUGCUCCACCGCUUGUGCGGGCCCCCGUCAAUUCCUUUGAGUUUCAACCUUGCGGUCGUACUCCCCAGGCGGAUAACUUAAUGCGUUAGCUGCGCCACCAAAAGCCCAUGGCCCCUGACAGCUAGUUAUCAUCGUUUACGGCGUGGACUAC